RNAcentral lists this long non-coding RNA (314 nucleotides) under Mytilus galloprovincialis (Mediterranean mussel). Lineage: Eukaryota; Metazoa; Mollusca; Bivalvia; Mytilida; Mytilidae. The record is from RNAcentral.
GUGCACUAAAUGAAAAUUGUCAUGGAUUUCAAAUCAAUCAGAACUUGGCCUCCCAUAUCACAUCACAAAUUUAGGUUAAGCUAACUAAUUAUGUAUGUCAAGAUCAAUUUUAGAGCACAGGCAAGGUUUUUAUUCAUCUUACAUUUCAUAAUUUCAGAUAUUUAAAGAAAUGAGUCUAAAAAUAGCAAUACCUCUGUUUUUCUCUGUUCCUCUUUUAUACUUUAUAUUUAUUAUAUAGUGAGAGAGAGAGAGAGACAAUCAGAGAGAGAGAGAGAAUUUAUUCUUAAAUAAUAUGAAGCUGUGCUGGUUAAAGC